GACAGAGGCCUCAAGCGUUAGGCGGAAUCACUGGGCUUAAAGCGUGUGUAGGCGGAUCGUUAAGUGCCUUGUGAAAUCCCACGGCUUAACUGUGGAACGGCUGGGCAUACUGGCGGUCUUGAGCCAUCUAGGGGCGACUGGAACAAACGGUGGAGCGGUGAAAUGCGUAGAUAUCGCUUGGAACGCCGAAGGUGAAAACAGACUGCUGGGGUUGCGCCGACGCUGAGACACGAAAGCCAGGGGAGCAAACGGG
This 253-nucleotide ribosomal RNA is filed under the name uncultured bacterium. Its description in RNAcentral is "partial 16S ribosomal RNA". It matches the Rfam family "Bacterial small subunit ribosomal RNA", at positions 524 to 776 of the family's 1533-position model. The record is from RNAcentral.